Molecule: ribosomal RNA, 365 nt
Filed under: uncultured eukaryote
Lineage: Eukaryota
Description: partial 18S ribosomal RNA
Rfam family: Eukaryotic small subunit ribosomal RNA
Source: RNAcentral
CAAUAGCAUAUACUAGUGUUGUUGCGGUUAAAACGUUCGUAGUCGAAUUACAUACUUGCAGAUCGUUUGAAGCGGUCAGGAAGUUUCUAUUGAUAUAUCACCACAGAGGUCACACGUCUACGGAGAUGUAUCAAUAAGUUACCUUGAAAAAAUUAUGGUGUUCAUAGCAAGCAUAUGAUGCUCUGGAUACAAUAGCAUGGGAUAACAGCGCUUGGACUCCGACCCGUAGUGCGUUAGCGAAUGGGAUUGGAGGAAUGAUUAAUAGGAGCAGUCGGGGUAGUCGUAUUCCAUCGCUAGAGGUGAAAUUCUUUGACCGAUGGAGGACGAACAACUGCGAAAGCAUCUACCCAGAAUGUUUUCAUUGA